AUGGCGGUUCGACCCGCAAUGUUGUAUGGCACGGAGUGUUGGCCGACUAAAAGGCGACAUGUUCAACAGUUAGGUGUGGCGGAGAUGCGUAUGUUGAGAUGGAUGUGUGGCCACACGAGGAAGGAUCGAGUCCGGAAUGAUGAUAUACGAGAUAGAGUUGGGGUAGCACCAAUUGAGGAGAAGCUUGUCCAACAUCGUUUGAGAUGGUUUGGGCAUAUUCAGCGCAGGCCUCCAGAAGCUCCAAGUCGUGUCAGGUCUGGUUCAUCUGGGUGA
This 273-nucleotide ribosomal RNA is filed under the name Triticum aestivum (bread wheat). Its description in RNAcentral is "partial small subunit ribosomal RNA". The record is from RNAcentral. Lineage: Eukaryota; Viridiplantae; Streptophyta; Magnoliopsida; Poales; Poaceae.